GAUGGAUAAUUUUCGCAAGUGAACGAAUUACCACGUCGUAAUAAAAAUAUCGAUCCACAGGGAUUGUGUGAUUAAACUAGUCUAAUAGUGUUCAUAAACAUUAUGCAAGAAAUACACAUAAAUUGGGGGUAUGUUGAGGGAUGAAUUGUUAGAAAACGUGCUUUGAUAUAAUGGAAAAGCGAGGUAGAAUCAUCGGAAUCGCCUAGUCUAUAGCUAAACCACAUGCAAUCUACUAUAUCAUAGGAAUCUACUCAAGUGUUCACAACUAGAUCGACAAAUUAGUGAAUCGCAAUCUCUUGUCAAAUUCCACUCUAUUCGUUGUCGAUACUCCCCCGAUCUCUCGGGCGGAAGCUACCUACAAC
RNAcentral lists this long non-coding RNA (362 nucleotides) under Trifolium pratense (red clover). RNAcentral describes it as "long non-coding RNA (TPRA_LNC004883)". Lineage: Eukaryota; Viridiplantae; Streptophyta; Magnoliopsida; Fabales; Fabaceae. The record is from RNAcentral.